This 94-nucleotide small nucleolar RNA is filed under the name Oryza sativa (Asian cultivated rice). RNAcentral's name for it is "snoR19c small nucleolar RNA". It matches the Rfam family "Small nucleolar RNA SNORD25". From Rfam's summary of the family: U25 is a member of the C/D class of snoRNA which contain the C (UGAUGA) and D (CUGA) box motifs. U25 is found in gene clusters in plants, and within the U22 snoRNA host gene (UHG) in mammals. U25 is thought to as a 2'-O-ribose methylation guide for ribosomal RNA. Lineage: Eukaryota; Viridiplantae; Streptophyta; Magnoliopsida; Poales; Poaceae. The record is from RNAcentral. RNAcentral also lists the same sequence under 1 other name.
CAUGGCAACAGUGAUGAGUCCUUACAGACCUGUAAUGAUUCUUGCGGGAAUGAUCGCUUGAUUCAAAGAACAUCUAAGGGACUGAGUUAUCAUG